UGGCGCGGUGAAUACGUUCCCGGGCCUUGUACACACCGCCCGUCAAGCCAUGGAAGUCAGGGGGACCUGAAGACGGUACCCGUUAAAGGAGCCGUUUAGGGUAAAACUGGUAACUGGGGCUAAGUCGUAAACAAGGUACC
This 140-nucleotide ribosomal RNA is filed under the name uncultured bacterium. RNAcentral describes it as "partial 16S ribosomal RNA". It matches the Rfam family "Bacterial small subunit ribosomal RNA", at positions 1355 to 1500 of the family's 1533-position model. The record is from RNAcentral.